GAUGAACGCUGGCGGCGUGCCUAACACAUGCAAGUCGAACGGAGUCCAGCCUUUAAGACCUUCGGGUCAAAGAGGGGAAGACUGAGUGGCGGACGGGUGAGUAACACGUGGGCAACCUGGCUCAUAGAGGGGGAUAACAGAGAGAAAUUUCUGCUAAUACCGCAUAGGCCCACCCUGCCCCAUGGCGGGGGGUGAAAAGAGAAUCGCUAUGAGAUGGACCCGCGUCUGAUUAGCCAGUUGGCAGGGUAAGAGCCUACCAAAGCGACGAUCAGUAGCCGAUCUGAGAGGAUGAACGGCCACAUUGGGACUGAGACACGGCCCAAACUCCUACGGGAGGCAGCAGUGGGGGAUAUUGCACAAUGGGGGGAACCCUGAUGCAGCGACGCCGCGUGAGUGAAGAAGUAUUUCGGUAUGUAAAGCUCUAUCAGCAGGGAAGAUAAUGACAGUACCUGAAGAAGAAGCCCCGGCUAACUACGUG
Molecule: ribosomal RNA, 478 nt
Filed under: uncultured bacterium
Lineage: Bacteria
Description: partial 16S ribosomal RNA
Rfam family: Bacterial small subunit ribosomal RNA
Source: RNAcentral